Molecule: unclassified non-coding RNA, 251 nt
Filed under: Hevea brasiliensis (rubber tree)
Lineage: Eukaryota; Viridiplantae; Streptophyta; Magnoliopsida; Malpighiales; Euphorbiaceae
Source: RNAcentral
GACCAUGGAUUUACCUCAUCGCGGUCAAUUGAUCGGUUUGCCCUCCAAAUAACACUAGUACAUUUGAAACCCGACCCGAAUGCUAUUUGCCAUAAUGUGUCUCCUUUUCUGACCCUACCUUUUGCUUCAACAUAAGCUACUUCAUACCACACCGAACAUGUGGAUGUGUUACCGAACCUAUAUAGAGUCAUUCUAGAAGCUUCCAUUUGUUCGUCGCUAAACCCUAAUUUUUUCUGCAAAUCAUCCAACAC